CCUACGGGGGGCAGCAGUGGGGAAUAUUGCACAAUGGGGGAAACCCUGAUGCAGCGACGCCGCGUGAGUGAAGAAGUAAUUCGUUACGUAAAGCUCUAUCAGCAGGGAAGAAAAUGACGGUACCUGAGUAAGAAGCCCCGGCUAACUACGUGCCAGCAGCCGCGGUAAUACGGAGGGUGCAAGCGUUAUCCGGAUUUACUGGGUGUAAAGGGAGCGUAGACGGCUGUGCAAGUCUGAAGUGAAAGGCCGGGGCCCAACCCCGGGAGUGCUUUGGAAACUGUGCGGCUAGAGUGUCGGAGAGGCAA
RNAcentral lists this ribosomal RNA (305 nucleotides) under uncultured bacterium. Its description in RNAcentral is "bacterial SSU rRNA". It matches the Rfam family "Bacterial small subunit ribosomal RNA", at positions 338 to 660 of the family's 1533-position model. The record is from RNAcentral.